This 751-nucleotide ribosomal RNA is filed under the name Triticum aestivum (bread wheat). Its description in RNAcentral is "partial small subunit ribosomal RNA". The record is from RNAcentral. Lineage: Eukaryota; Viridiplantae; Streptophyta; Magnoliopsida; Poales; Poaceae.
CCCCCUCUCUCCAGAAAGAAAGAUCACAUCCAUCACAUCUGUUUCCCAGCUCGAUCCCCUUUGCCUGGUCAACGUUCGAUGCUGGAGCUGGCGAUGAAGCAUGGAGGAGCAGAGGAGCACCGGCGUUGAUGCACUGCUCCAUCGUCUCGCCGGGGCCGUCGUAUUCCCUGCUGCCUCCCUGACUCACCGUUCGCGAGCACCCCGCGGCCUUCGGCGCGCUUAGGCCGUCAUCUCCCUGCGUGUGUGGCGUCGUCCAUGCCGACAUCUCCCUUCGGCGCAUGGCGUCCCGGGGGCCGGCGUCUACCUCCCUCGUGUGGCUCACCGUGGCUGCAUCAAUCUAUAUCUACGCAAGGCAGCCAUCUUCAAUCUGACGUGCGUGACGGCGUCCUGGUCGCCAUCGAUCUCCUGCUCGUUGGCUAGGCAUCGGAGCCUGCAAGCUGUGGCAACCUCCCAGUGCAUGGAUGCAUCGACCUUGAGUAGUGGCUGUCGCUGCCAUCCCGUUCAUGGCAGACUCUUUUUCCUCUCGUGUGUGUGUGUGUUUCUUUCUCUCAUGGUGUGUGUGGAUUGACGUUUACUAGUUGGCUCAUGUCAGGUGGAUGGAUCUGAGUGCUAGCUUCGUGUGUGUCGUGUGCAUAUGGAUCUGAAUGCUAGUCACAUAGUGUUGAAUUCAUGUCCCUUGCUGUGUGUAUGUAUGGAGAUCAAAUCGAUAUAUACAAAAUUGAUUCUAGUUGGAAUUGCUACCCUCUAUGAA